This 402-nucleotide ribosomal RNA is filed under the name Ochlerotatus eatoni hewitti (nomen nudum). Its description in RNAcentral is "partial 16S ribosomal RNA". It matches the Rfam family "Bacterial large subunit ribosomal RNA", at positions 1930 to 2541 of the family's 2925-position model. The record is from RNAcentral. Lineage: Eukaryota; Metazoa; Arthropoda; Insecta; Diptera; Culicidae.
GCCGCAGUAUUUUGACUGUGCGAAGGUAGCCUAAUCAAUAGUCUUUUAAUUGGAGGCUUGUAUGAAUGGUUGAAUGAGAUAUAUACUGUCUUUUUUAAAUUUUUAUAGAAUUUUAUUUUUUAAUUAAAAAGUUAAAAUAUAAUUAAAGGACGAGAAGACCCUAUAGAUCUUUAUUUUUGUUAAUUAUAAAUUAAAAAGGAUUAUCAAAUUUAUAGUUUAAUAAAAAAUUUUACUGGGGUGGUAUUAAAAUUUGAUUAACUUUUAUGAUUUAUUUACAUUAAUAUAUGAGUAAUUGAUCCAAUUUUAUUGAUUAAAAAUUUAAGUUACCUUAGGGAUAACAGCGUAAUUUUUUUUUAGAGUUCAUAUCGACAAAAAAGAUUGCGACCUCGAUGUUGGAUUAAU